UCGUGGUACGAGCUGUCUGGUUAAUUCCGAUAACGAACGAGACUCUAACCUGCUAAAUAGUACGGUUGCAAUAUGUAUGUGGACCUUCGUCCUUGUGCCUCUGGUGCAGGGAUGGAACCACAUAAGCAGGCGAAACUUCUUAGAGGGACUGGCGUUCAAAAAGCGCACGAGAAAGAGCAAUAACA
This 185-nucleotide ribosomal RNA is filed under the name uncultured eukaryote. RNAcentral describes it as "partial 18S ribosomal RNA". It matches the Rfam family "Eukaryotic small subunit ribosomal RNA", at positions 1299 to 1458 of the family's 1831-position model. The record is from RNAcentral.